This 495-nucleotide ribosomal RNA is filed under the name uncultured bacterium. RNAcentral's name for it is "partial 16S ribosomal RNA". It matches the Rfam family "Bacterial small subunit ribosomal RNA", at positions 28 to 507 of the family's 1533-position model. The record is from RNAcentral.
GACGAACGCUGGCGGCGUGCCUAAUACAUGCAAGUAGAACGCUGAAGGAGGAGCUUGCUUCUCUGGAUGAGUUGCGAACGGGUGAGUAACGCGUAGGUAACCUGCCUGGUAGCGGGGGAUAACUAUUGGAAACGAUAGCUAAUACCGCAUAAGAGUAGAUGUCGCAUGACAUUUGCUUAAAAGUUGCAAUUGCAUCACUACCAGAUGGACCUGCGUUGUAUUAGCUAGUUGGUGAGGUAACGGCUCACCAAGGCAACGAUACAUAGCCGACCUGAGAGGGUGAUCGGCCACACUGGGACUGAGACACGGCCCAGACUCCUACGGGAGGGAGCAGUAGGGAAUCUUCGGCAAUGGACGGAAGUCUGACCGAGCAACGCCGCGUGAGGGAAGAAGGUUUUCGGAUCGUAAAGCUCUGUUGUAAGAGAAGAACGAGUGUGAGAGUGGAAAGUUCACACUGUGACGGUAGCUUACCAGAAAGGGACGGCUAACUACGUG